GCUUCUCGCUACUCUCUAGGGUUUUCCCACUUCAUAACGCUCAGCCUCCUUAAGUCCCUUCCCUCGCUGUCUCCAUAGCAACCUCAUAUCCUUGCAGCCAUGUCAAAAAAGAAGACUAGAGAGCCAAAGGAAGAAAAUUUGACACUUGGACCUGCAGUCAGGGAGGGUGAGCAUGUUUUUGGAGUGGCACACAUCUUUGCAUCAUUCAACGACACAUUCAUUCAUGUGACUGAUCUCUC
This 239-nucleotide unclassified non-coding RNA is filed under the name Hevea brasiliensis (rubber tree). The record is from RNAcentral. Lineage: Eukaryota; Viridiplantae; Streptophyta; Magnoliopsida; Malpighiales; Euphorbiaceae.